UGGGUUUCCCGGGGCCUUUUGCAAAUUUCAGAGGCCAAAGAUGUGGACACUUGGCGUGCUUUGGUCUUCGAGGGGAGAGGGCUGGAAGCUCCGGGGAGCAAAGCAGCUUGCCCAGGCCCCCUCGGGGCUCCCCAGGGCCUCAGUCUGGAGGAGGCAGCCUUGGGAACCGAGCCCCUCUUCCCCGCUCCCCGGGUCUUCGAUUGCAUUUCCCCUUCUUUGAAGAAGCAGAGUUCUUCGCAGAGUGACCUUGAAAUAUCUGGUCAAACCGGAAUAGGAGGAAAGGAAAACGCAGUUGUUUUCUGGCUUGACUUUUUUUUUUCUUAUUUUCCCCAGAAAAAGUGAACGAAUUGCCUAGGAAUCUAGUUCUCAAGGUAAAGCCCAACAAGAGUAACAGGAACCAGGCGGCCCCAGGUGUGUUUCUUCCUGACCCUCUUCCUCCCUCCCCUCCCCCUCCUCUUGCCCCUCCUCCUCUCCUUCCCCACUCCCCGCAUCUGCCUCUUCCAUCACCUUCUGCCUUCUCCUCCUCCUCUCCUCCCCCUCGUGCUGUCCCCUCCCUUCUCCCCUCUUCUCCUUCCCAGGCUGGCCCAGGGAGCCGCUGACCGCCCGCGGUUCUGCAGUCACAGACCUGGGAGGCCACGCUCAGAGGGACACCUGGGAGGUGUGCGAUGUCCUUGCGGCACACCUGGCAUUGCCGAUGCCCGGUCUCCUGCUCUGGCUCCCUGCCCCGCUCCCUGCUUUGCCUCCCGCCUUGCGGUCAAGGCCAAGCUAUAGGAUGCUCCGCGGGAUCCGUGAAAACCUUUCUUCUUCUCUGCUGGAGCCUUUGCGUUCCUGGAAGGGGCCUUCCUGCAGGGAGUGGAGUGGGAUGGAGGGGACUGCAAGUGCGGGAAUUUGUUGGUGUGGACAGGUCUGUGGCAGGAUAAAGGCGGUUUGGAAAAAGCUCCAGAAAUGUUUAGAGCAUCCUCGGCCCAUCACUCAUUUGUCCGGGAGUGUAUAACACGUAUGAGUGAAGAUGGAAGGCCAUCAUAGGUUUUUAUAAAAGGGAAGACUGGGAAAGAGCAAACAUCACUAGUAGGGUCCUGACAAAUGUGACUAUCACAGAAUACUCCGGAACCAGCACGGAGCACAAAAGAGGUAAGGUCUGUGUACUGUCUCUCCCGUUCUGUGCUAAAACCACGCUAAAUGCUGGACAAGCGAGGGCUUGCCUGAUCCUCACAACAACUAAAACCAGCACUAUCGGCAGAGAAACUGAGGCAUGAAGACGUUAACUCGUCCAAGGUCGAGAACCCGGUGAGUGACAGAUGCCAGUGAGACUUCAGGCAGCCUAGCUCCAGAGCCCGUGUUCUGUUAGUGUGUGUGUGUGUGUGUGUGUGUAUUUGCUUAUUUAUUUUCAUUUUAUUUGAAAGGCAGAGAGGCAUCUUCUGUCUGCUAUUUCACACUCCCCAAAUGCCUGCAGCAGUCAGGGCUGGGCCAAAGCCAGGGGCCCAGAACUGCCCUGGGUGACAGGGAUCCCAGUACUCGGGCCAUCUUCUGCCGCCUUCCCAGGACGUGAACUGGCAGGAAGCUGGACGGUUCGUGGAGCAGCCGGGACUUGAACCGGCGCUCUGAUACAGGAUUCUGGCAUCGGAAGCGCCGGCCCCGCCUGGCCACUGUGGGUGUCCCUGCACGCCCUGUGCCAUCU
Oryctolagus cuniculus (rabbit) is the source of this 1678-nucleotide long non-coding RNA. NCBI's taxonomy places the organism in Eukaryota, Metazoa, Chordata, Mammalia, Lagomorpha, Leporidae. The record is from Ensembl.